UCUCCGUUGGUGAACCAGCGGAGGGAUCAUUACCGAGUUUACAACUCACAAACCCCUGUGAACAUACCCUUUGUUGCCUCGGCGGUGCCUGCUUCGGCAGCCCGCCAGAGGACCCAAACCCUUGAUUUUUUCCUGUAUCUUCUGAGUAAAUGAUAAAAUAAAUUAACACUUUCAACAACGGAUCUCUUGGUUCUG
RNAcentral lists this unclassified non-coding RNA (195 nucleotides) under plant metagenome. RNAcentral's name for it is "partial contains small subunit ribosomal RNA, internal transcribed spacer 1, and 5.8S ribosomal RNA". The record is from RNAcentral.